AUGGACUUAGGACUCAUAUUGGUUUUCUCUACCCUUAUUUUAAAAGGUGUCCAGUGUGAAGUACAGUUGCUGGAGUCUGGGGGAGAGUUAGUACAGCCUGGAAAGUCUCUAAAACUCUCCUGUGCAGCCUCUGGAUUCACCUUCAGUAGUUAUGCAAUGAGCUGGGUUCGCCAGGCUCCAGGGAAGGGGCUGGAGUGGGUCGCAUCCAUUAGUAGUAAGAGUAGUUACAUCUACUAUGCCGACGCUGUGAAGGGCCGGUUCACAAUCUCCAGAGACAAUGCCAAAAACACUCUGUACCUGGAAAUGAGCAGUCUGAGAUCAGAAGACACAGCCAUGUAUUACUGUGCAAGAGACACAGUGUAUGAGUUGAACAUGAGUAGUGAGAUUCCAGCACAUGUGUUCAACUACACAGUAGUCUUGAAAAGGUCAAGGAGUCCAGACUCAGAAUAG
Chionomys nivalis (European snow vole) is the source of this 450-nucleotide non-coding RNA. Lineage: Eukaryota; Metazoa; Chordata; Mammalia; Rodentia; Cricetidae. The record is from the annotation of a RefSeq genome assembly.